Molecule: small nuclear RNA, 53 nt
Filed under: Xenopus laevis (African clawed frog)
Lineage: Eukaryota; Metazoa; Chordata; Amphibia; Anura; Pipidae
Description: U7 small nuclear RNA
Rfam family: U7 small nuclear RNA
About the family: Animal histone pre-mRNAs are spliced by a different mechanism than nuclear pre-mRNAs and self-splicing introns. This processing involves the U7 snRNP, which contains only one RNA species: U7.
Source: Rfam by way of RNAcentral
UCGUAUUACAGCUCUUUUACUAUUUGUCUAGCCGGUUCUUUCUUAGAGCCAGU